AACGAACGCUGGCGGCAUGCCUAACGCAUGCAAGUCGAACGAGACCUUCGGGUCUAGUGGCGCACGGGUGCGUAACGCGUGGGAACCUGCCCUUAGGUUCGGAAUAACUCCCCGAAAGGGGUGCUAAUACCGGAUAAUGUCUUCGGACCAAAGAUUUAUCGCCUUUGGAUGGGCCCGCGUUGGAUUAGCUAGUUGGUAGGGUAAAAGCCUACCAAGGCGACGAUCCAUAGCUGGUCUGAGAGGAUGAUCAGCCACACUGGGACUGAGACAUGGCCCAGACUCCUACGGGAGGCAGCAGUGGGGAAUAUUGGACAAUGGGCGAAAGCCUGAUCCAGCAAUGCCGCGUGAGUGAUGAAGGCCUUAGGGUUGUAAAGCUCUUUUACCCGGGAUGAUAAUGACAGUACCGGGAGAAUAAGCUCCGGCUAACUCCGUG
This 433-nucleotide ribosomal RNA is filed under the name uncultured bacterium. Its description in RNAcentral is "partial 16S ribosomal RNA". It matches the Rfam family "Bacterial small subunit ribosomal RNA", at positions 29 to 507 of the family's 1533-position model. The record is from RNAcentral.